RNAcentral lists this ribosomal RNA (413 nucleotides) under uncultured bacterium. RNAcentral's name for it is "bacterial SSU rRNA". It matches the Rfam family "Bacterial small subunit ribosomal RNA", at positions 355 to 787 of the family's 1533-position model. The record is from RNAcentral.
UGGGGAAUAUUGCACAAUGGGGAGGACCCUGAUGCAGCGACGCCGCGUGAGCGAAGAAGUAUCUCGGUAUGUAAAGCUCUAUCAGCAGGGAAGAAAGUGACGGUACCUGACUAAGAAGCCCCGGCUACUACGUGCCAGCAGCCGCGGUAAUACGUAGGGAGCAAGCGUUAUCCGGAUUUACUGGGUGUAAAGGGAGCGCAGGCGGCGCGGCAAGUCUGGUGUGAAAGCCCGGGGCUCAACCCCGGACUGCAUUGGAAACUGUCGUGCUGGAGUGUCGGAGGGGCAAGUGGAAUUCCUAGUGUAGCGGUGAAAUGCGUAGAUAUUAGGAGGAACACCAGUGGCGAAGGCGGCUUGCUGGACGACAACUGACGCUGAGGCUCGAAAGCGUGGGGAGCAAACAGGAUUAGAUACCC